Arachis ipaensis is the source of this 627-nucleotide non-coding RNA. Lineage: Eukaryota; Viridiplantae; Streptophyta; Magnoliopsida; Fabales; Fabaceae. The record is from RefSeq and is a predicted model, not a curated record.
UCAGAAGCUGCCGCCAUGGCCGCCGGCCUCCUAGCUGCUGCAGUGGUUGUGGACCGCUAUGUAUGGUCACCGGAGAAGUCGUUGUGGCUGCUGAAACCACCGCCGAAGCUUCUGGAAGCUUCUGCCGCCCGAAACCCCACUGUCGUCGCCGGAAAACUCUGCUGUCACCAUCGCCGGAGUUCAGUCGCCGCUGCCGCUUGAGGUGGCUGCCGGAGCCGCUGCCAAGCUAGUUCAGAGCCCGCCGCUGUUUCGUUUCGCUAGUUCAGUAAGUAUUUCUGUUUCGAAAGCCCUGCGUUAGUGUUCUGUUCCGUGUAAUAAAGUAUUUGUGAUGUUAAUGGUUCUAGGAGUUAGAAUCCGAGUUUACUGGUGGUGUUUGAAGCUGUUUCUACUUUUGAGAGAGCAAGCGGAGCCGAGGUUUUGGUUGCCGUCAAUUCGGGUUGAGGCGAAAGGAACCCUGUGAGGCGUUUGGGCUAUGGUUUCACGUAUUGAGUCUUUUCUUUUUCAGGUUACGGACGACGAAGUUCGGAAGAUAUUAUUUCUUUUCUGUUAGACGAUAUUUUUGUAUUGUUUUAGUAUUUAUGUUUCCCUCGCCUUUAAUUUUGCAAGUCUUGUAAGAGGGAUAGGAUU